RNAcentral lists this long non-coding RNA (363 nucleotides) under Zostera marina. RNAcentral describes it as "long non-coding RNA (ZMAR_LNC005913)". Lineage: Eukaryota; Viridiplantae; Streptophyta; Magnoliopsida; Alismatales; Zosteraceae. The record is from RNAcentral.
UUCAGACCAUUUGACUACCGGUGAACUGGGCCAACUGGCUGAUAGAUCAUUAUCUCUUGAUGAAAAUUGUUAUUCUGUGGCAAGUAAUGACAGAGAAACAAAGGAAAAUGAUGAAUUGGAUGAAUUUAGUAUCUUGACAGAUUUAUCCUGUGUUAUAUGUUUGACGAACUUUUCAUCAACAAGAGGAGUUUUACCUUGUGGGCAUCGCUUCUGCUAUUUGUGCAUUGAAUCCUGGGCUGAUCACAUGGUAACUUCUUUUAUUAUUUACUUUUCUUCUUAUCUUGGCAAUUAUUAUCUGGCAUGAUGGUUGCCGUUGUGAGAAAUUAUAUUUUACCGAGAGUGUUGGAUGACUUUUUUUUAAAG